CAGUAGCCGCGGUAAUACGUAGGUCCCGAGCGUUGUCCGGAUUUAUUGGGCGUAAAGCGAGCGCAGGCGGUUAGAUAAGUCUGAAGUUAAAGGCUGUGGCUUAACCAUAGUACGCUUUGGAAACUGUUUAACUUGAGUGCAAGAGGGGAGAGUGGAAUUCCAUGUGUAGCGGUGAAACGCGUAGAUAUAUGGAGGAACACCGGUGGCGAAAGCGGCUCUCUGGCUUGUAACUGACGCUGAGACUCGAAAGCGUGGGGAGCAAACAGGAUUAGAUACCCCUGUAGUCCCUGUCUCUUAUACA
RNAcentral lists this ribosomal RNA (301 nucleotides) under uncultured bacterium. RNAcentral's name for it is "partial 16S ribosomal RNA". It matches the Rfam family "Bacterial small subunit ribosomal RNA", at positions 509 to 808 of the family's 1533-position model. The record is from RNAcentral.